UACGAAGGUGGCAAGCGUUACUCGGAAUUACUAGGCGUAAAGGGCAGGUAGGUGGUCUGAUAAGUCUGUUGUGAAAGCUCCCGGCUUAACUGGGAGAGGUCAAUGGAUACUGUCAGGCUUGAGUAUGGGAGAGGGUGCUGGAAUUCCUGGUGUAGCGGUGAAAUGCGCAGAUAUCAGGAGGAACACCAAUGGCGAAAGCAGGUACCUGGACCAUUACUGACACUCAGCUGCGAAAGCUAGGGGAGCAAACAGG
This 253-nucleotide ribosomal RNA is filed under the name uncultured bacterium. RNAcentral describes it as "partial 16S ribosomal RNA". It matches the Rfam family "Bacterial small subunit ribosomal RNA", at positions 524 to 776 of the family's 1533-position model. The record is from RNAcentral.